RNAcentral lists this ribosomal RNA (253 nucleotides) under uncultured bacterium. RNAcentral's name for it is "partial 16S ribosomal RNA". It matches the Rfam family "Bacterial small subunit ribosomal RNA", at positions 524 to 776 of the family's 1533-position model. The record is from RNAcentral.
UACGGGGGGGGCAAGCGUUGUUCGGAAUUACUGGGCGUAAAGGGCUCGUAGGCGGCCAACUAAGUCAGACGUGAAAUCCCUCGGCUUAACCGGGGAACUGCAUCUGAUACUGGAUGGCUUGAGUUCGGGAGAGGGAUGCGGAAUUCCAGGUGUAGCGGUGAAAUGCGUAGAUAUCUGGAGGAACACCGGUGGCGAAGGCGAGUCUCUGGACAUUUCCUGACGCUGAGGCACGAAAGCCAGGGGAGCAAACGGG